Molecule: ribosomal RNA, 429 nt
Filed under: Gemmatimonadota bacterium
Lineage: Bacteria; Pseudomonadati; Gemmatimonadota
Description: Gemmatimonadetes bacterium partial 16S ribosomal RNA
Rfam family: Bacterial small subunit ribosomal RNA
Source: RNAcentral
UAGGGAAUCUUCGGCAAUGGACGAAAGUCUGACCGAGCAACGCCGCGCGAGUGAAGAAGGUUUUCGGAUCGUAAAACUCUGUUGUUAGAGAAGAACAAGGACGUUAGUAACUGAACGUCCCCUGACGGUAUCUAACCAGAAAGCCACGGCUAACUACGUGCCAGCAGCCGCGGUAAUACGUAGGUGGCAAGCGUUGUCCGGAUUUAUUGGGCGUAAAGCGAGCGCAGGCGGUUUCUUAAGUCUGAUGUGAAAGCCCCCGGCUCAACCGGGGAGGGUCAUUGGAAACUGGGAGACUUGAGUGCAGAAGAGGAGAGUGGAAUUCCAUGUGUAGCGGUGAAAUGCGUAGAUAUAUGAAGGAACACCAGUGGCGAAGGCGGCUCUCUGGUCUGUAACUGACGCUGAGGCUCGAAAGCGUGGGGAGCAAACAGG